Hemicordylus capensis (graceful crag lizard) is the source of this 5891-nucleotide RNA transcript. It is a transcript of the gene named ubiquitin-associated domain-containing protein 1-like, with no coding region annotated. NCBI's taxonomy places the organism in Eukaryota, Metazoa, Chordata, Lepidosauria, Squamata, Cordylidae. The record is from RefSeq and is a predicted model, not a curated record. The transcript is spliced from 5 exons.
CUUGCCUGCAGAAGGUCCCACGUUCCCUCCCUGGCAGCAGCAUCGCCAAGACAAGGCUGGGAGAGACUCCUGCCUGCAGGGCAGCCUUGGAGAAGCCGCCGCUGCCCGUCUGGGUAGACGGCGCUGAGCUAGGUGGAGCAAGGGGCUGACUCGGUCGUCUACGGCAGCUGCCUCUGCUCUUAAAGAUCCCUGCCCCGCACUCGCGAGCCUUAAGCACCUCCAGAGCUGCCUUCACGACGAGUCACUGGGAGGGUAUCCUGCGGGUUGGGGGGGGGCGGAAUCCAUCAUCCAGGCCAGUCCCAGAGGAUUGGCAGCCCGAGCUGGCAGCAGCCAAAGAUCCUUGCCCCCCCUCCGACUGCGACAUGCUGCUGCCAGCUGAGUAUAGACAAUACGCAGCGAAGCGGACCAAGGGCCUGACUCGGCAGAAGGAACGUGCCUGCCAUUGCUCGACUUUUAAAAAAGAACCACAACAGAAAAGCCUCAGGAGAAUGUGCAACCCUUUAUAGAAUAACUGGAGCAGAGUGCAGAGCACGAUACAGAGAAGGAGAGAUCGUUUUUUUAAAAACCACACGCUCUCCCUUUGCACCCGCCCCCCACUUGGUGCCUUCAUUCCUGGGGGCUCUCUUCUGCAGUGGGGUGGGGGGUGGGAGUUCGGAAGCUGCCAGGCUAUCCAAAACGGCAUAGAGGCUUCAGGGCGGGCCACUGGGCGUGCUCAGCCGCCGGUACAGACAUGCGCAGAGCCGCAAAGCCUCGGCGGGGGAAUUCUGGCGGGCUUUCUGCGCUCCUCCCCGCGUGCCCCUGGGAGCCGACCCCACUCCUCUGAUUGGUUGGCGGGGUGACAGGCGCAUCACUGAUUGGCGAGCAGCUGGACAGCGGGCUCCGCCUCCCGCAGCUGAAGCUCGCGACGCCUUGAGCGCGCUACGUUUGAUGGAGAAAUAAUUUGAGACGCCUGAGGCGGCAAGAGCCGCACGAGGAGGAAGACCAGCAGGGCCGAGAAGGAGAAGCUCACCUCAGGGAACCAGGGGGCCUCACGCCCCACACUGCAGCAGGGGGGCCAGGGCUGGGGAGGAGAGGCCCUCCUCAGGGAACUAGGGGGCUUCACGCCCCACAUUGCCCCUACUUGGCUGCUGAGGAAGGCCAACCACAAGCCUCUAAGGGGCAGAGAAAUGCUCUGAGGGAAGGAUGUCUCCCAGACAGGGCAAGGAAGGGCUCUAUGCCUAGCAGUGGCUUUUACCUCAGCAGUUUAGUGAGAAUAAUUAAUAAAUAGGCAUGGAGAAAAAGCUGUCUCUAAGCUUGCUUCUAAUCCUCUGGGGGAAGGGCUCUGUGCCCACCUUUAGCUCACAGGCAAAAAUUCUCUGAGGGGAGGCUCUCUCCAGGACAGGGCAAGGAAGGGCUCUAUGCCCAGCCUUGGCUUUUACCUCACCAAAAUAAUGAUAAUAAAUCUCUGUUGCUUCAGAAAAAGGAGGAGGAAACCACUCCAGCCAUGCUACUCAGCCAGGAUAUAGCUUUUUAAAAGAAUGCUUUGUGGGAGAGUGGUGGGAUUACGCUCUUCAAGACCCCUGCCAAAAACCAGUUUCUGAAGGGAAGGGAAGUUUCUGAGUGGGGAGUUCAUCUCUCUGCUUUGGCUUCAUCUUGUGCACACACACAAAAAAAAAACCUGAGGGGAAAGGAAGUUUCUGAGUGGGGAGUUCAUCUCCUAGCUUUGGCUUCAUCUUGUGCAAAAAAAAAAAAAAACCUGAGGGGAAAGGAAGUUUCUGAGUGGGGAGUUCAUCUCUCUGCUUUGGCUUCAUUUUGCCAAAAAAACUCAAACCCCUUUGGAGGAUGCUGCAGCCGUGCUGACGUGUGCAAAAGCCCUGCCACCUCACUGCCCACAUUUGUAGCAUUUGUCUGCAGAGGGCAACAUGCCACAGAUUCUCCCCGUCCUCAGAACACUGGGGCGCCACAGUCUUCUGCAUCACGGUGAAAAUCUGUCCACUCUUAGACCGUUCUUUCUCUGUGCAGACAAAUGCUAGAACUAUGGACCGCGUAGGGCAGGACUUCUGAGCGCAACGGCACAGGGGCUGUAGCAGAAAAUUCCCUGAAGCCAGGGGCUGCUGUGUAACUACAGACUGGCCCUUUUAGUCUGAGAAAACGGUGCGACUUGAGGCUGUCCAAAGAAACCUGAGGCUCCUUUAUUCUCCCAACAGCUGUGUAUGGCAGCAUAAUUCCUAAGAGAGUGGCUGGCUUGAAUGGAACACCCUCCCUGCGCAUUAAAAGUCUUAGUCUUCUAGAUACUCAGAACACUUUUCUGAGGCAGCAUAAUCUCUAAUUUUCAGGCAGGCUUGUAUGGAACAUGCUUCAGGCUUCUUAAUUCUCUCAAGAGAAGAGAGGGUUCUCUUUAUAUUUUCUCAAAUCCUUUUUAAUGAGUUCUAGCUUUUCAUAUUUGUGAAUGGCAUAGAGCUAUCUGGAUGAGGGGUAUAGACACUUAAUGAAAGAAUGAAUAAAUAAAACAGCUGUGGGAGUCAGCAUAAUCUCUAAAAUGGGGGCUGGCUUGUAUACAUGAUAGAAGCACCAGGAUGCUUUAUAACUGCCAACUUUAUAGGGAAGGAUAAUCUCAAAUUUAGCACCUAUCUUUAGCUGAACAUUGUUCAUGUGUGUUCUAUCCCCACAACAUUGCUUGGAGGACAAUUUAGCAAAAAGAAAUGGAGUUGGUGCAUGUGUCCCUACGACCCACAGGCUGGAGUGCUGCUCUUGGAGCAUUUUUUCCUCCCAAGGGGCCAACGUGGCAGAUUUCAAGAAACAACCGACAGAGGCGACAUCACAGAAGCCAAGAAGACGUGAAAGGAGCCAACGACACAGACACACAGGGCAAGCCAAACCAAACCACAACCCAGGGGCUGCGUAGAAGCUUCAGGCUUCUCUCUUGUCGCAAACAUCAUCAUCAUCACGCACUUUAUUUGUGAGCCACCCCAUAACAAAUAGUCCUCUGGGCAGCUCACAACACAACAUUGAAAAACUUCCAAUAAGAGCACAUACAACACGACAAACACAUCACAACACGAAACGGCAGCAUCUCUAAAAUGGUGGCUGCCUUGAAUGGAAGGGGCUUCAUGCCUCUUCAAGCAGCUUUGGGGGAAUUGCCAAGAACAGACACAAUACCAUAUAGAUGUUGUAUUCUGCCAUUUAGAGAACACGCUUCACGCGUGUUGAGAGCUUCAAGCUUCUUUAGUCCCGCAACACUUUUCUUGGGCUGCAUACACUCUAAGAUGGUGGCUGCCUUGAAUGGAAUUGUGUCCCCUCGACAACCCUGCGUGGCAAAGUGGGCCAGAAGAAACGGAGUCGGCGCGUGUGUCCCUACGAUCUCCAGGCCGGAGUGCAGCUCUUGGAGCAUUUGUUCCUCCCCAGGGGCCAACGUGGCAGAUUUCAAGAAACAACCGAUGGAGGCGACCACAAACCACAAACCAGGGGCUGCGUAGAAACUUCAGGCUUCUUUCUUGUCGCAAACAUCAUCAUCAUCAUGACACACUUUAUUUGUGAGCCACCCCGUAACAAAUAGUCCUCUGGGAGGCUCGCAACACAAAAUUGAAAAACGUCCAAUAAGAGCACAUACAACACGACAAACACAUCACAACACAAAACAGCAGCAUCUCUAAAAUGGUGGCUGCCUUGAAUGGAAGAGGCUUCAUGCCUCUUCAAGCAGCUUUGGGGGAAUUGCCAAGAACAGACACAAUACCAUAUAGAGGUUGUAUUCUGCCAUUUAGAGAACACGCUUCACGCGUGUUGGGAGCUUCAAGCUUCGCAACUCUUUUCUUGGGCUGCAUACACUCUAAGAUGGUGGCUGCCUUGAAUGGAAGAGGCUUCAUGCCUCUUCCAUUGUGUCCCCUUGACAAUCCUGCGUGGCAAACCGGGCCAGAAGAAACGGAGUCGGCGCGUGUGUCCCUAUGAUCCCUCUUGGAGCAUUUGUCCCUCUUGGAGCAUUUUCUCCUACCAAAGGGCCAACGUGGCAGAAUUCACAAAAGGCGGCAACCACACACAAGCCAAGGAAGGAGGAAAAGAGUCUCAUGGAAGAACCAAGAGGCAGCGACACACAAGCCACAAAGGAAUUAAAAGAGCCGACGACGAUGCACAAGAUAGCCAAAGCAAGGGCUGUGUUCCUCACUGCCCUGAAUGCUCUGUCAAUCCAGGGGCCAUCAGUAGAAACUUCAGGCUGCUUUGUUCUCUCACCACCUGUGGAAGGCAGCAUGAUCUCUCAUUCUGUGGCUGCCUGGAAUGAAACACGCUUCAUGUAUGUUACAAGCUUCAGGCAUCUUCAUUCUCCCAACAGCCUUGUCAAGCUGGAUAUCCUCUAAGAUGGUGACUGCCUUUAACAGGACACACUUCAUGUGUGCUGCAUGCUCAGCAGCCCUUUGUGGCAUGUUUGGAAAGAAGAAACAGAGUUGGCACACAUUUGCAAUGACCUCCAUGCCGGAGUGGUGAUUUUGGAAUGUUUUCUCCUCCCAAGAGACCUGUGUGGGAGGUAGGAUCAAAGACAGGAACUGGACCCAAGGUAAAGGGAUCCCACCCUCGUCAAAAAUAGAACUCCCAGGGUGGCGUAAGAGACAAUCGAAGAGGAACAAGACUAAUGCCUGCUAUGAUGAGCAGAGCACUGAAGAAUCUAUACCAAAUAGGUAUUGUUAUGGCUGACAAGCAGACUAGGUUUCUCAGUAGUUAUCCCUCAAUGGUUACUCUAAAGGAGGACUCAAUUUCAAUAGGGGUUGCAUUGGGUAAUUUGGCCAGGAUGUCAGCCGGUAUUCAUUAUGCAUUGAUUUUUGCAAGAUGAGAUGAAACAGCUGUGAAACUAGUUACCAAGAAAAUGUAUUACUCAGGAAAUCUAAGGUGUCAUCCUUCAUAAAUGUCUCAUACUCUAACAUCACGUGGAUUUGCUCACACUUCAAAUAAAUUAUGUAACUUGUUCUUUUCCAAAAGAUUUCAAAAACAGACCAGUGGAGGCAACAAAAGACAAGCCAUGCCAAGCAAAACUGCAUUACCCUUUUAGGUCUUGUUUUCAGAAGAUUAGUCUCAAAACCAGUGGCUGGCUGCUGCAAAUAGAGGCUUCAAGCGUGAGCUGAUUUUAUCCUUGGCCCUGUGAGGUUGACUUGUAUACAGUUCCAUGUGGAUUGUGGAUAAAUCCCUACAAAGAAGGAUAUUGCAAGAAAUCGGAAAUUUAUAAAAGUGGCUACUGUCAGAGAGGUAUAUAUUAACCUAUGUCUAGAUAUGCUUUUGAUUUUCUUUUCCCCUAGCAAUCAAUCAAUGUAUCGCGAUCCAUAGACCAGAAAAUUUUCCCCUAGCAGACUGAUUUACAUAGACGGCCAUGUGGAUUGUGGGUAAAUCCCUACUUAGGAGGUUAUUUGAAGAAAUCCAAAGUGUAUAAAAGUGACUAAUAUCAAAGAGGUAUGUAUCAACUCCUAUUUAGAUGUUUUUACUCCCUUAUUAGGAUGUUAGAUAUACAGUUAAGGUGACUCUAUUUAAAAGUCUUCUGUCUGGAAGAUUUUCCUCUCAAAAGAGACUUGUGCAGACAGGUUGAAAGUUGCUCUUACAAUAAGUGAUGUAGGGACAUAGGAGCUGAAGUCCUAUGGUCAGGGUGAAGUGCUGGUAACCUCUCCCCUGUAGCCUCCAAAGAAAGAGGAGAACUUUCUGCAACUGGAAGAAAAAAGAUGAAGUCUGAAGAAAAGAUUCACUGUGGAAGGAGCGGUCCGCUUGCCAUGGACUGUGAUGUUUUCUUGCUCCACGUUAUUGAUAGCCAGUUUAGUUUAUUGUUACCUUUAAAUUAUUGUUCUGUGUGUGAGCAUUCUGUGCAUUCAGUAUUUCUGUAAAGCCUUUGUGUAGAACCCGGGUUCUUAUUUUUGUAAUGUAUUUUAAAUGUCUGGAAAAUU